This 253-nucleotide ribosomal RNA is filed under the name uncultured bacterium. RNAcentral describes it as "partial 16S ribosomal RNA". It matches the Rfam family "Bacterial small subunit ribosomal RNA", at positions 524 to 776 of the family's 1533-position model. The record is from RNAcentral.
UACGGUGGGGGCAAGCGUUGUUCGGAAUUACUGGGCGUAAAGGGCUUGUAGGUGGCCAACUAAGUCAGACGUGAAAUCCCUCGGCUUAACCGGGGAACUGCGUCUGAUACUGGAUGGCUGGAGUGUGGGAGAGGGAUGCGGAAUUCCAGGUGUAGCGGUGAAAUGCGUAGAUAUCUGGAGGAACACCGGUGGCGAAGGCGGCAUCCUGGACCAUUACUGACACUGAAAAGCGAAAGCCAGGGGAGCAAACGGG